This 875-nucleotide ribosomal RNA is filed under the name uncultured bacterium. RNAcentral's name for it is "bacterial SSU rRNA". It matches the Rfam family "Bacterial small subunit ribosomal RNA", at positions 528 to 1405 of the family's 1533-position model. The record is from RNAcentral.
UAGGUUGCAAGCGUUGUCCGGAAUUACUGGGUGUAAAGGGCGUGUAGGCGGAGCUGCAAGUCAGAUGUGAAAUCCCGGGGCUCAACCCCGGAACUGCAUUUGAAACUGUAGCCCUUGAGUAUCGGAGAGGCAAGCGGAAUUCCUAGUGUAGCGGUGAAAUGCGUAGAUAUUAGGAGGAACACCAGUGGCGAAGGCGGCUUGCUGGACGACAACUGACGCUGAGGCGCGAAAGCGUGGGGAGCAAACAGGAUUAGAUACCCUGGUAGUCCACGCUGUAAACGAUGAAUACUAGGUGUGGGAGGACUGACCCCUUCCGUGCCGCAGUUAACACAAUAAGUAUUCCACCUGGGGAGUACGACCGCAAGGUUGAAACUCAAAGGAAUUGACGGGGGCCCGCACAAGCAGUGGAUUAUGUGGUUUAAUUCGACGCAACGCGAAGAACCUUACCAGGAUUUGACAUCCAACUAACGAAGUAGAGAUACAUUAGGUGCCCUUCGGGGAAAGUUGAGACAGGUGGUGCAUGGUUGUCGUCAGCUCGUGUCGUGAGAUGUUGGGUUAAGUCCCGCAACGAGCGCAACCUCUAUUGUUAGUCGCUACGCAAGAGCACUCUAGCGAGACUGCCGUUGACAAAACGGAGGAAGGCGGGGACGACGUCAAAUCAUCAUGCCCCUUAUGUCCUGGGCUACACACGUAAUACUAUGGCGGCCAACAAAGCGAAGCAAGACCGCGAGGUGGCAGCAAAUCGCAAAAAGCCGUCCCAGUUCGGAUUGCAGGCUGCAACUCGCCUGCAUGAAAUUGGAAUUGCUAGUAAUCGUGAUCAGCAUGCCACGGUGAAUACGUUCCCGGGCCUUGUACACUUCGCCCGGUCCAGCCAU